Molecule: small RNA, 479 nt
Filed under: Scedosporium apiospermum
Lineage: Eukaryota; Fungi; Ascomycota; Sordariomycetes; Microascales; Microascaceae
Description: eukaryotic LSU rRNA
Rfam family: 5.8S ribosomal RNA (bases 145-298)
Source: RNAcentral
UGAACCUUACCUAUGUUCUGUUGCCUCGGCGGCGUCGGUCAGCGCCCCUCUGAAAAGAGGACGAUGCCCCUCCCGCCGGCAGCACCAAACUCUUGAAUUUUACAGCGGAUUACAGUUCUGAUUUGAAAACAAAAAACAAGUUAAAACUUUCAACAACGGAUCUCUUGGUUCUGGCAUCGAUGAAGAACGCAGCGAAAUGCGAUAAGUAAUGUGAAUUGCAGAAUUCAGUGAAUCAUCGAAUCUUUGAACGCACAUUGCGCCCGGCAGUAAUCUGCCGGGCAUGCCUGUCCGAGCGUCAUUUCAACCCUCGAACCUCCGUUUCCUCAGGGAAGCCCAGGGUCGGUGUUGGGGCGCUACGGCGAGUCUUCGCGACCCCCGUAGGCCCUGAAAUACAGUGGCGGUCCCGCCGCGGUUGCCUUCUGCGUAGUAAGUCUCUUUUGCAAGCUCGCAUUGGGUCCCGGCGUAGGCCAGCCGUCAAA